UACGGGAGGCAGCAGUGGGGAAUAUUGCACAAUGGGCGCAAGCCUGAUGCAGCCAUGCCGCGUGUAUGAAGAAGGCCUUCGGGUUGUAAAGUACUUUCAGUCGUGAGGAAGGUGUUAAGGUUAAUAACCUUAGCAAUUGACGUUAGCGACAGAAGAAGCACCGGCUAACUCCGUGCCAGCAGCCGCGGUAAUACGGAGGGUGCGAGCGUUAAUCGGAAUUACUGGGCGUAAAGGGCACGCAGGCGGUUAAUUAAGUUGGAUGUGAAAUCCCCGGGCUUAACCUGGGAAUGGCAUUCAAGACUGGUUAGCUAGAGUCUUGUAGAGGGGGUAGAAUUCCAUGUGUAGCGGUGAAAUGCGUAGAGAUGUGGAGGAAUACCGGUGGCGAAGGCGGCCCCUGGACAAAGACUGACGCUCAUGUGCGAAAGCGUGGGGAGCAAGCAGGAUUAGAUACC
Molecule: ribosomal RNA, 452 nt
Filed under: uncultured bacterium
Lineage: Bacteria
Description: bacterial SSU rRNA
Rfam family: Bacterial small subunit ribosomal RNA
Source: RNAcentral